RNAcentral lists this signal recognition particle RNA (96 nucleotides) under Rhizobiales bacterium NRL2. RNAcentral's name for it is "signal recognition particle sRNA small type". It matches the Rfam family "Bacterial small signal recognition particle RNA". Rfam says of the family: The signal recognition particle (SRP) is a universally conserved ribonucleoprotein involved in the co-translational targeting of proteins to membranes. Archaeal SRP consists of a 7S RNA and homologues of the eukaryotic SRP19 and SRP54 proteins. The record is from RNAcentral. RNAcentral also lists the same sequence under 2 other names. Lineage: Bacteria; Pseudomonadati; Pseudomonadota; Alphaproteobacteria; Hyphomicrobiales.
GGAGGUUGCCUGCGGACGGACCGCUCGCCAACCCGGUCAGAUCCGGAAGGAAGCAGCCGUAACGAAUCCGGUCCGGGUCGCCGGGCAAUCUCCCGC